RNAcentral lists this ribosomal RNA (497 nucleotides) under uncultured bacterium. RNAcentral's name for it is "partial 16S ribosomal RNA". It matches the Rfam family "Bacterial small subunit ribosomal RNA", at positions 28 to 507 of the family's 1533-position model. The record is from RNAcentral.
GACGAACGCUGGCGGCGUGCCUAAUACAUGCAAGUUGAGCGCUGAAGGUUGGUACUUGUACCGACUGGAUGAGCAGCGAACGGGUGAGUAACGCGUGGGGAAUCUGCCUUUGAGCGGGGGACAACAUUUGGAAACGAAUGCUAAUACCGCAUAAAAACUUUAAACACAAGUUUUAAGUUUGAAAGAUGCAAUUGCAUCACUCAAAGAUGAUCCCGCGUUGUAUUAGCUAGUUGGUGAGGUAAAGGCUCACCAAGGCGAUGAUACAUAGCCGACCUGAGAGGGUGAUCGGCAACAUUGGGACUGAGACACGGCCCAAACUCCUACGGGAGGCAGCAGUAGGGAAUCUUCGGCAAGGGACGAAAGUCUGACCGAGCAACGCCGCGUGAGUGAAGAAGGUUUUCGGAUCGUAAAACUCUGUUGGUAGAGAAGAACGUUGGUGAGAGUGGAAAGCUCAUCAAGUGACGGUAACUACCCAGAAAGGGACGGCUAACUACGUG